CCUACGGGGAGCAGCAGUAGGGAAUUUUUCACAAUGGGCGAAAGCCUGAUGGAGCAACGCCGCGUGCAGGAUGAAGGCCUUCGGGUUGUAAACUGCUUUUAUAAGCGAGAAAUAUGCUGGUAACUUAUGAAUAAGGAUCGGCUAACUACGUGCCAGCAGCCGCGGUCAUACGUAGGUGGCAAGCGUUAUCCGGAAUGACUGGGCGUAAAGGGUGCGUAGGUGGGUUAGUAAGUUGGCGGUGUAAUUCCGGGGCUCAACCUCGGCGCUACCGCCAAAACUAUUAGACUAGAGUGCAGGAGGGGUAAGUGGAAUUCCUAGUGUAGCGGUGGAAUGCGUAGAUAUUAGGAGGAAAAUCAGGGGCGAAGGCGACUUACUGGACUGUAACUGACACUGAGGCACGAAAGCGUGGGGAGCAAACAGGAUUAGAUACCCGGGUAGUC
RNAcentral lists this ribosomal RNA (440 nucleotides) under uncultured bacterium. Its description in RNAcentral is "partial 16S ribosomal RNA". It matches the Rfam family "Bacterial small subunit ribosomal RNA", at positions 338 to 795 of the family's 1533-position model. The record is from RNAcentral.